RNAcentral lists this small RNA (76 nucleotides) under Xanthomonas dyei pv. laureliae. Its description in RNAcentral is "sX9 sRNA". It matches the Rfam family "Xanthomonas sRNA sX9". RNAcentral also lists the same sequence under 2 other names. The record is from RNAcentral. Lineage: Bacteria; Pseudomonadati; Pseudomonadota; Gammaproteobacteria; Lysobacterales; Lysobacteraceae.
AUGGUCCACGCGUACACGCCGGUUUUGAGCGCGCCGUUCACACCCACUGACGACUGCUCGCUACGUGGUGUUAGCC